Molecule: ribosomal RNA, 468 nt
Filed under: uncultured bacterium
Lineage: Bacteria
Description: partial 16S ribosomal RNA
Rfam family: Bacterial small subunit ribosomal RNA
Source: RNAcentral
GACGAACGCUGGCGGCGUGCUUAACACAUGCAAGUCGAACGGAAAGGCCCUGCUUUUGUGGGGUGCUCGAGUGGCGAACGGGUGAGUAACACGUGAGUAACCUGCCCUUGACUUUGGGAUAACUUCAGGAAACUGGGGCUAAUACCGGAUAGGAGCUCCUGCUGCAUGGUGGGGGUUGGAAAGUUUCGGCGGUUGGGGAUGGACUCGCGGCUUGUCAGCUUGUUGGUGGGGUAGUGGCUUACCAAGGCUUUGACGGGUGGCCGGCCUGAGAGGGUGACCGGCCACAUUGGGACUGAGAUACGGCCCAGACUCCUACGGGAGGCAGAAGUGGGGAAUAUUGCACAAUGGGCGGAAGCAUGAUGCAGCAACGCCGCGUGCGGGAUGACGGCCUUCGGGUUGUAAACCGCUUUCGCCUGUGACGAAGCGUGAGUGACGGUAAUGGGUAAAGAAGCACCGGCUAACUACGUG